UGCAUUUCAAACAGAGGGCUCACUGGGCAC
This 30-nucleotide non-coding RNA is filed under the name Mus musculus (house mouse). The record is from RNAcentral. Lineage: Eukaryota; Metazoa; Chordata; Mammalia; Rodentia; Muridae.